Capra hircus (goat) is the source of this 319-nucleotide long non-coding RNA. RefSeq lists it as uncharacterized. NCBI's taxonomy places the organism in Eukaryota, Metazoa, Chordata, Mammalia, Artiodactyla, Bovidae. The transcript has 2 exons. The record is from RefSeq and is a predicted model, not a curated record.
GAUAUUGAAUAUUGUUCCCUAUGCUACAUAGAAGGUGAAGUUAACAGUGAAACCUCGACGAUGGUAGAGCCACAAGAUGGAAGGAUCAAGGGCCUGUGAAUCACCAAGUGAAGUGAAGUCAUCUGCUGGUUGAAAACACACACUUCAGACACUUACAUGCAGAAGAAACCUCUGUUGUAUUUGAAUGAUGACAUUUGUUACAACUGUUCUGUCUCAUUCCAGUGAGUACAACUCCCAGAGUCUUAGUUUUCUUAUUUAAAAAAAAAAAAAAGGAAGGAUAUCAAUAUCUACCUCAGGAAAAAAAAAAAAGGGGAGGAUA